AGGAAAGUAAGCUAAAUUUUAAGCUAAUGGGUUCAUACCCCAUUUAUAGAGUCAUCUCUCUUUCCUA
This 67-nucleotide transfer RNA is filed under the name Mesopteryx alata. RNAcentral's name for it is "tRNA-Met". The record is from RNAcentral. Lineage: Eukaryota; Metazoa; Arthropoda; Insecta; Mantodea; Mantidae.